ACGAAACGAGAAGUCGACUCGCCUCUCGGCGUCCGGCCCUCCGCGAGCACCCGAGGGGGUUCGGGCCUCGGAUCGGAUCCGAUCCCGUCCCUUCUUCGGGGCUGUCCGCGAAUGGAGGUGUCCUCGGACGGAGUCGAAAGAUUCUCCGGUCCGCGACGCUACGGCUUGGAUGGUCCACCCGACCCGUCUUGAAACACGGACCAAGGAGUCUAACAUGCGCGCGAGUCGUUGGGUCGGAAACGCUCCGCUAAACCCAUAGGCGAAAUGAAAGUGAAGGCCACCGUACGGGCGGCCGAGGGAGGACGGGGCCGCUGACGCGGUCCCCGCACCCCCGGGGCGUCUGAUCCCUCAUCGCGAGGGGAGGCGCACCCAGAGCGCACACGUUGGGACCCGAAAGAUGGUGAACUAUGCCUGGCCAGGACGAAGUCAGGGGAAACCCUGAUGGAGGUCCGUAGCGAUUCUGACGUGCAAAUCGAUCGUCGGAGCUGGGUAUAGGGGCGAAAGACUAAUCGAACCAUCUAGUAGCUGGUUCCCUCCGAAGUUUCCCUCAGGAUAGCUUGCGCUCGGAGGAGAGUCUCAUCCGGUAAAGCGAAUGAUUAGAGGCCUUGGGGCCGAAACGGCUUCAACCUAUUCUCAAACUUUAAAUGGGUGAGAACUCCGGCUUGCUCGAUUACUCGAAGCCGGAGACGGGGACACGUCCCCCGGGAUCGGAGUGCACAGUGGGCCACUUUUGGUAAGCAGAACUGGCGCUGUGGGAUGAACCAAACGACGGGUUAAGGCGCCCGAAUCGACGCUCAUGGGAAACCAUGAAAGGUGUUGGUUGCUUAAGACAGCAGGACGGUGGCCAUGGAAGUCGGAAUCCGCUAAGGAGUGUGUAAUAACUCACCUGCCGAAGCAACUAGCCCUGAAAAUGGAUGGCGCUGAAGCGUCGUGCCUAUACCCGGCCGUCGCCGCAAGACGGACCCGGCCCCGCGCCGGGUGCCGCCUGACGCGGCGACGAGUAGGAGGGUCGCGGCGGCGAGCGCAGAAGGGUCUGGGCUCGAGCCUGCCUGGAGCCGCCGCCGGUGCAGAUCUUGGUGGUAGUAGCAAAUACUCCAGCGAGGCCCUGGAGGACUGAUGUGGAGAAGGGUUUCGUGUGAACAGCCGUUGCACACGAGUCAGUCGAUCCUAAGCCCUAGGAGAAAUCCGACGCCAACGGCGACGGGAAAAAACGAAAGAGCGAAUGAAACCCGUUGAUCGGGCGAAAGGGAAUCCGGUUCCUAUUCCGGAACCCGGCAGCGGAACCGCUGUUUGUCGGGCCCUCACAAGGGGUUCGUCAGGGUAACCUAAAAGGGCCCGGAGACGCCGUCGGGAGCCCCGGAAAGAGUUUUCUUUUCUGCAUGAGCGUUCGAGUUCCCUG
RNAcentral lists this ribosomal RNA (1399 nucleotides) under Heliocypha biforata. RNAcentral describes it as "eukaryotic LSU rRNA". It matches the Rfam family "Eukaryotic large subunit ribosomal RNA", at positions 597 to 1722 of the family's 3401-position model. Lineage: Eukaryota; Metazoa; Arthropoda; Insecta; Odonata; Chlorocyphidae. The record is from RNAcentral. RNAcentral also lists the same sequence under 1 other name.